RNAcentral lists this ribosomal RNA (254 nucleotides) under uncultured bacterium. Its description in RNAcentral is "partial 16S ribosomal RNA". It matches the Rfam family "Bacterial small subunit ribosomal RNA", at positions 524 to 776 of the family's 1533-position model. The record is from RNAcentral.
UACGUAGGGGCCUAGCGUUGUCCGGAUUUAUUGGGCGUAAAGAGCUCGUAGGCGGUUCGGUAAGUCAGGUGUGAAAUCUCCACGCUCAACGUGGAGGCGCCACCUGAAACUGCCGUGACUCGAGUCCGGUAGGGGAGUGUGGAAUUCCCGGUGUAGCGGUGAAAUGCGCAGAUAUCGGGGGGAACACCAGUGGCGAAGGCGGCACUCUGGGCCGGUACUGACGCUGAGGAGCGAAAGCGUGGGGAGCGAACAGG